RNAcentral lists this ribosomal RNA (301 nucleotides) under uncultured bacterium. RNAcentral describes it as "partial 16S ribosomal RNA". It matches the Rfam family "Bacterial small subunit ribosomal RNA", at positions 509 to 807 of the family's 1533-position model. The record is from RNAcentral.
CAGUCGCCACGGUAAUACGUAGGUGGCAAGCGUUGUCCGGAAUUAUUGGGCGUAAAGGGCUCGCAGGCGGUUUCUUAAGUCUGAUGUGAAAGCCCCCGGCUCAACCGGGGAGGGUCAUUGGAAACUGGGAAACUUGAGUGCAGAAGAGGAGAGUGGAAUUCCACGUGUAGCGGUGAAAUGCGUAGAGAUGUGGAGGAACACCAGUGGCGAAAGCGACUCUCUGGUCUGUAACUGACGCUGAGGAGCGAAAGCGUGGGGAGCGAACAGGAUUAGAUACCCCUGUAGUCCCUGUCUCUUAUAC